Long non-coding RNA from Mustela erminea (ermine), 1538 nucleotides. RefSeq lists it as uncharacterized. The record is from RefSeq and is a predicted model, not a curated record. Lineage: Eukaryota; Metazoa; Chordata; Mammalia; Carnivora; Mustelidae. The transcript is spliced from 11 exons.
GAAUGAUGCAGUUGAGCUGAAUUAGCAUCUUUCAAGAUCAAGAGCUCUGUGGCUGCUUCUGUCUGAUAGGACAGAAAUUAAUAAUGGACACACUUGAGCAUACUUAAGGAUUCACCUACAGUCCGUGAUCUUGAUGUUUGCAUCUGCCUCUUAGGAGCGUGGAGAUCAGUAGCGGACCCAUCUGAGCUGAUUCAGUACCUUCGGUGGUCACAGGCUCUGUGGUCGCAUACGUGUGCUGGCAGCAUGGAGACCAGCAAUGGGCGCGCGUGAGCUGAUGUAAGCAUCGUUGACGGUGUUGAGCUCCUGGCUCCAUCUGUUUGUUAGGGGCAUGGAGACCAAUCCUUGGAAAGGAUGCCCUUGAGCUGACGUAAGCAUCCUUCAGGGCUGUGAGUGCCAUGGUUACACCUCCGCACUGGGAACAUGGAGACCCAUAAUGGGGACCGCCACACCAGUUCUGGCAUUCCGCCUGGCCUUGAAUUCAGAGGUUGUCUUAGGAGCAUGGAGACCACCAGUGUGUAAGGAGACACACUUGAGCUGAUUUCUGUAAUCAAGACCUUUAUGGCUCAUUGCUGGAUACCCCAUAGCUAAUUACAUUGUUCUCCAGUCAUGACGACCUUUGCCUUAUCCUGUGGGAAGGAGCUUAUUGUGCUACUCAUUAUAUUAAAUGAUGAAGAUCCUGACUGGGACCAGCGUGGCCAAGGACAGUAUAGAUUGGGGAGAGUGACGAGGGCAACGAAGUUCUGGAAGAACGCCAGUUGGGAUGGGAGCCGCCAGCCCAGACCAGGCGUGUUUAAGGCAGCAGACCAGGCCAUCUUGCCUGGGAUGGAGGGUGAGAAAAGUAAGCUGCAACACCUUUGCUCUCGGGGGGGUAUUUGCCCAAGACCCGCCCUCCACUCCCCCCGCCCCCCAUAGCCUCAUAUCCUCCCUCCCUCCUGCAAUACAGGCUGUAGUUUCAUACCUGCUUUACAGCUGACACCGAUCACCCCUCUUCCUCUCUUGUCUUGCCGGCUCCUGACCCUGGAUUCCAUCUCUCACUCCUGGUUUUGCAUCCUUUGGUCUUGGUGACGGAACUUGGUCAUUUGGCUUGGAAUAUGGCUUCCUCCUUCCUGAUGAUUGGAUCUCCGCUCAGAUCACUGGCCUUUCCACCUCAGAGUGAAUCAGGAAAGAGCAGUCUGUGUCUUUGAAGUCACCGGCGCUGUCCAGGUUCCUUGUCCUGAGCUGUGAGAGAGAGAGAGGUAAGUUUCUAUCGUUUACCCUGCAGAAAUCUGGCCAUGUGCCGUGCCCUAUGGAACUCACACCUGAGCUGGGCCUCCCAGUGGGUGCCCCCCACCCCCUCUUGGGCCCCCUGAGCCUGAGGGUGCCCUCUGUCCCCCCUCUGCCAGCACCCCUUCUGCUGGCCUCUGUGCUCGCUCGGCCUCCGUGGCCGCUGGGGACCUUCACGAAGGGUGACAUUUCCCUAUUCCCUUCACGUGAGACCGCAGUCGGAGCCAACGGCUGCCCAAAGCACGAUGGCCAGUGUCUCCACCAUCGCCGUUUUG